AAACCAAGAAAAGUUUUCAUUAAAACCACACCUCACAAUACUAACACCACAAAAGACGUCUCUAGCUAUGAAAGAGAGAAAAAAGUUUGUAACCAGAUUUUUACUGCGUAACUAAUAUUUUAUGUUCCAGGGCUGAGCUUGUGAGAUCCACUUCGAAGCAGAAACACUAACUUCUAGAACAAUGUAAUCAAAUGGAUAUAAUAGAGCAAAGAAAAUAUUGCCUAAUGGUUGGAAGAUUCACUGAAAUACAAACCUGUCAGCUAAAGCAAGUUCUUGGUCUAGGACAGCCUCUCUUGGCUCACUCAACUCAGUGUCGUUCAAGGUUUCUUCACAGUCUGAAAAUGUCAGAAAGUGUUCACUUCGCACCACAGUUGGAUCUGAAAACAAGUCUUACGAUGAUUUAUUACCAAUAACGGGUUCAGUGCCAAAAAGUUGAUUUCCAGUUACUCUCAUUUUUGAUCUAUGAACGUCCAGGGCGCAUACAAUUUUUGGCUGUUACCCUGUUCGAGCUUUGGCUUCGAUACCAGCAAUGACUUCAGGGUGCAAAUUCCUCAUGGCAAGGAUAGCCAACCUUGAGAUGACCUGGUCAUACAGCAAAGCAUACCAUCGCUGCUGAAUCUCUUGUAAUGUAAAGCGACAAGAAAAUUUGACUCCACGUUGCACCGUCCGCAAACAAUUUGUCUGUGAGGAGAAAAAAGAAAAGAAGGCCAGGGAUGUGGAGCUGUAUUUCAAUGAAACCCUUGGGUACAAAGUACAAAGCCGGAUUUUUCUUCAGACUCCUCUCCUUAAACAUGCAGCUGUCGCGCUACAGCUGUAAGGCAAGAAUUUAAGGUGAGGAAAAAACUUUGAAAGGAAAAAGUCUAUUUUAAACAUUAGAAGUUGAAAACUCCUCCGCAAAACAGCCACUAGGACUCUGAACCAAAUGAAUACCUAAUAGGCUGGAUUUUGACUGAAAUCUUAAGACAAAAAGCUUCAAGAUUUUACUUUAAAGAUUUUUAUCUUUCAUGAGAAAAAAGGGGGCAUCUAGUGCCCUUGUAUAAAUAAAAUUCUUCUUUUGCCCAAAAAUGUAAGAUUAGCUUUAUUUCCACCCAUUCCAAUUUAAUCAAACCACUCCCACUUUUUGACCUGAACCCUUCCUAAGCAUCCUACUUACCUGUAACG
Molecule: non-coding RNA, 1161 nt
Organism: Bemisia tabaci
Lineage: Eukaryota; Metazoa; Arthropoda; Insecta; Hemiptera; Aleyrodidae
Source: RefSeq, a predicted model, not a curated record